UUAACAAAAAUCAAUGGUGGUAUUACACCUAUUUAGGGAAACUCUAUGUGCACUCGUGAGUCGUGACCUUAUUGUACUUUCAUUUUUAAAAGUUAUUAAUAAACCAGUUCAUACAUUGUAAACAUGGACUUUUCGGAAUGGAUUUAGACACUGAGAGCACGUUUGAGUGUUAACCAUGUUCUGAAGAGCAUUCUGUUGAAAAAUCUUACAUGUGAAUUGGUCGGCAGAUGACACUUCAGAAUUAAAACAAAAGAUAUCAAGUUUUGAUGAAAAAGGAAGGAAGGAGGAAAAAUGGACCAAAACAUACCAAAACAGACCUUCAAAUGAACUCUAAAAGGUGCAAUAAAAUUGUUUAUCAUCUUAAAGUUGUCUUUUGUAUUCUAUUUAAUUGUUUGAAUGCAUAUAUCCUGAGUUUAUGAUCAGGUAUUAGUCAACACUGCAUUUUAUUAUGAUACAUUGAAAUUAGGAUUUUUCGAAGAAAUUAGACUGAAAUUGCCGUAGGAUAUGGCCUUACAUUAUAGUGAUUUUCUCUGAAACUAUAGCUCUGACUGAGACAAAACUUGACAGUUAUGCUUGAAAUAACUUGCAAUU
Long non-coding RNA from Mytilus trossulus (common blue mussel), 591 nucleotides. RefSeq lists it as uncharacterized. Lineage: Eukaryota; Metazoa; Mollusca; Bivalvia; Mytilida; Mytilidae. The record is from RefSeq and is a predicted model, not a curated record. The transcript is spliced from 3 exons.